CAGAUCCCAAUCAACAUUGCGAAAAAAUGGAUGUCCCUGGAUAUCUGCAAAUCCUGUCUGGGGGUGGCAGCCUAACCGCUCCUUUGGAUCCUUAUUAAGGAAACUCUUUAGAACACCUGCUGCUUUAACAGAAAGGGAUCGGGGAAUCCGGAUCUGCUUUUCCAAAAUUACUUGAAAAAGAUAGUCUUCUGUGUUCUGAUCAGGAUUGUCAGAACUUCCGACUAUAUCAAAUGGUGACCUGCCUGCCAUCAUUUCAAACAUAAGUACACCAAGUGCCCACCAGUCUACACUGAAGCCAUAAUCUUCUCCUCGAAGAAUUUCAGGAGCAAUAUAGUUUGGAGUUCCACAGAACGUGCUUGUUGUAUCACCAGGCCUCAGCCCUUCCUUGCACAUGCCAUAAUCUGUGAGUUUAAUAUGUCCUUCAGAAUCUAGUAGCACAUUAUCUAGUUUUAAAUCUCUGUAGAUUAUUCCUCGUUCAUGUAAAUAAUUCAAUGCAAGGCUGAUUUCAGCAGAAUAAAAUCUGGCAUGCUCUUCUGGCAGUUUUCUCUGUCUCUGCAUGUGAAACAUCAGAUCUCCUCCAUUUACAUACUCUAUAACAAAGAAUAACCUGCUUUCUGUCUGGAAGCAAGAGUGCAGUCCAACAAGGAAAGGAUGAUUUGAAGCCUGUUCAAAGACAUGUUUCUCUGUCUGAACCCAAUCAAUAUCCUCAUCAUCAUUGACGAGUUCUUUCUUCACCACCUUCAUUGCAUAAAUGCGUUCUGUUUUCUUCAAUCGAACAAGCAGUACUUUAGCAUAACUGCCUCUUCCUAUAACUCGGAGCAAAUCAAAAUCCUGAAGACCCAGACUGGAAGAAGCUUUGCCGCUUUCUCUUAUGCCCAUUGCCUCCUUUUCUUCACCAACAUGGUCUAAGCUCUCAUGACUUGAUGGAUUAUAUGGAAUCACUGAUUCUACGUUAUCUGGAUGCACUGAUGAUGGGUCCAUAGGCAUUAUUGGUUCUGGUUGUAGUGUAUGACGACCACAUUCAGUAUUGACCAGUUUGUGACACUUCUUGUGAACAAGGAGUUUGCAAUUGAUGCAUUUGUAUCCCUGGCGACCCAGGCCCCAUAUUCGGUCACUGCAGAUGGCACAGUGAGCUCGCCUGUUAAAUCGUUUGGCUUGGAAAGUGUGACCAUUUGCACAAUAGAGCUUUCGCCACCGGCGGGCGCCACGGCGAUAAAUGGAUUUAUCUUCUCCUGGGCAAGGCAUGCCAGGCCGUUCUGGUACACAGGGAAACACAUGAAUUAGAAGUUCUGAAUCCUUGUUUAGUUCAUACAACCGAAAUGCCUCUUCUAACUCCAGCUGGGAAGAAACCGUACAUGGGUCUCCUUCUUCAUCAAUCCAUUUCAUGGUGAAAAGCUGCUCGUUGUCAAAGGAGCACAUGUCUCGAACUUCACUGCACAAUCCCUCAAAGGAGAUGGAAGGUUCAAAAUACGUUAUCAUGAUGUCCCCCUUAUAGUAGGCUUUCACGCGGACCUGGUGGGCGCUGUCCCCGCCGAGGCCGCCCCCGCCGCCGCCCGGAGCCGCCAUGGUGCUGCUGCUGUCCCGCUGCGUCGGCAUCCCCCCGCGGCGGGCGGCACCGCGCAGAGCGGCGGGCGGGAGGGCGGCGGGACGAGGGGGGCGGAGGCGGCCGCACAACCCCUCCGCUCCGCCGUGCCUCCAGAGCGCCGCGGGCCCGCCCUGCCGCACGGCGCCGGCCCAGCG
Molecule: long non-coding RNA, 1740 nt
Filed under: Gallus gallus (chicken)
Lineage: Eukaryota; Metazoa; Chordata; Aves; Galliformes; Phasianidae
Source: RNAcentral